Molecule: ribosomal RNA, 222 nt
Filed under: uncultured bacterium
Lineage: Bacteria
Description: partial 16S ribosomal RNA
Rfam family: Bacterial small subunit ribosomal RNA
Source: RNAcentral
CGGCAGACGGGUGAGUAACGCGUGGGAACGUGCCCUUCGGUUCGGAAUAACUCAGGGAAACUUGAGCUAAUACCGGAUACGUGCGAGAGCAGAAAGGUUUAUCUGCCGAAGGAUCGGCCCGCGUCUGAUUAGCUAGUUGGUGAGGUUAUGGCUCACCAAGGCGACGAUCAGUAGCUGGUCUGAGAGGAUGAUCAGCCACACUGGGACUGAGACACGGCCCAG